UCCGAAGGGUGCAAGCGUUACUCGGAAUUACUGGGCGUAAAGCGUGCGUAGGCGGUUUGUUAAGUCUGUCGUGAAAGCCCCGGGCUCAACUUGGGAAUGGCGAUGGAAACUGGCGAGCUAGAGUACGGUAGAGGAGAGUGGAAUUCCCGGUGUAGCAGUGAAAUGCGUAGAGAUCGGGAGGAACAGCAGUUGCGAAGGCGGCUCUCUGGACCAGUACUGACGCUGAGGCACGAAAGCGUGGGGAGCAAACAGG
Molecule: ribosomal RNA, 253 nt
Filed under: uncultured bacterium
Lineage: Bacteria
Description: partial 16S ribosomal RNA
Rfam family: Bacterial small subunit ribosomal RNA
Source: RNAcentral